RNAcentral lists this long non-coding RNA (213 nucleotides) under Sorghum bicolor (sorghum). RNAcentral's name for it is "long non-coding RNA (SBIC_LNC003231)". Lineage: Eukaryota; Viridiplantae; Streptophyta; Magnoliopsida; Poales; Poaceae. The record is from RNAcentral.
CUCUUUUCUUAUUUUCUUCUAUACUUAUCAAAGCCCUUAGCCGAUGCCCUGCUAAAUCAUCCAACUCGUCUUUUAUCAAAGUAGCAUAUGUUGGGUAUUUUAAACGCAAACAGAAAAAUCCACAAGCGCACGGAUACCGAUGUAGCCUUCACCCGGGAGUAUUCAAGAGUAUCGAUUUUCCACAGGGAACGUGAGUGUACUAAUUAAGAUCCA